GAUGAACGCUGGCGGCGUGCCUAAUACAUGCAAGUCGAGCGAACAGACGAGGAGCUUGCUCCUCUGACGUUAGCGGCGGACGGGUGAGUAACACGUGGAUACCCUACCUAUAAGACUGGGAUAACUUCGGGAAACCGGAGCUAAUACCGGAUAAUAUAUUGAACCGCAUGGUUCAAUAGUGAAAGACGGUUUUGCUGUCACUUAUCGAUGGAUCCGCGCCGCAUUAGCUAGUUGGUAAGGUAACGGCCUACCAAGGCAACGAUGCGUAGCCGACCUGAGAGGGUGAUAGGCGACACUGGAACUGAGACACGGUCCAGACUCCUACGGGAGGCAGCAGUCGGCAAUCUUACGCAAUGGGCGAAAGCUUGACGGAGCAACGCCGCGUGAGUGAUGAAGGUCUUCGGAGCGUAAAGCUGUGUUAUUAGGGAAGAACAAAUGUGUAAGUAACUAUGCACGUCUUGACGGUAACUAAUCAGAAAGCCACGGCUAACUACGUG
Molecule: ribosomal RNA, 497 nt
Filed under: uncultured bacterium
Lineage: Bacteria
Description: partial 16S ribosomal RNA
Rfam family: Bacterial small subunit ribosomal RNA
Source: RNAcentral